This 485-nucleotide ribosomal RNA is filed under the name uncultured bacterium. RNAcentral describes it as "partial 16S ribosomal RNA". It matches the Rfam family "Bacterial small subunit ribosomal RNA", at positions 28 to 507 of the family's 1533-position model. The record is from RNAcentral.
GAUGAACGCUAGCGAUAGGCUUAACACAUGCAAGUCGAGGGGCAGCGAGGGUAGCAAUACCUGUCGGCGACCGGCGCACGGGUGAGUAACGCGUAUGUAACCUGCCCGCAACAGGGGGAUAACCCGGCGAAAGUCGGACUAAUACCGCAUAAAACAGGGGUCCCGCAUGGGAAUAUUUGUUAAAGAUUUAUCGGUUGCGGAUGGGCAUGCGUACCAUUAGGUAGUUGGUGAGGUAACGGCUCACCAAGCCUUCGAUGGUUAGGGGUUCUGAGAGGAAGGUCCCCCACACUGGUACUGAGACACGGACCAGACUCCUACGGGAGGCAGCAGUGAGGAAUAUUGGUCAAUGGGCGAGAGCCUGAACCAGCCAAGUCGCGUGAAGGAUGACUGCCCUAUGGGUUGUAAACUUCUUUUACAAGGGAAUAAAAUGAGAUACGUGUAUUUUAUUGCAUGUACCUUGGGAAUAAGCAUCGGCUAACUCCGUG